RNAcentral lists this unclassified non-coding RNA (385 nucleotides) under uncultured fungus. RNAcentral describes it as "partial contains small subunit ribosomal RNA, internal transcribed spacer 1, and 5.8S ribosomal RNA". The stretch from base 1 to 73 matches the Rfam family "Eukaryotic small subunit ribosomal RNA", at positions 1759 to 1831 of the family's 1831-position model. The record is from RNAcentral. Lineage: Eukaryota; Fungi.
UCAAACUUGGUCAUUUAGAGGAAGUAAAAGUCGUAACAAGGUUUCCGUAGGUGAACCUGCGGAAGGAUCAUUAACAAAUCUUACCUGUGUAGGGUCUUGGUCUCUGGAGAGAGGGAGGGAAAGAGCGUUGCCGUUGCCUUUGUGCUGUGCUGCUUACUUUUAGUAGUGUAGUGGUGGUUAUGGCGACGCUCCGCCCCACUGGGUCUGGAGAUCAGAUCACACAUUGACUCGGGCUUUGGCUUGGCUGGCUGUAAAAAAGCUGGCUGGCCGAGUCUUGAGACAUUCACGCUUGUUGUGUUUGACUGAGUUUAUAUAAUGUAUGUGGCUAAAGAUGACAACUUUUAACAAUGGAUCUCUUGGCUCUUGCAUCGAUGAAGAACGCAGC